RNAcentral lists this long non-coding RNA (378 nucleotides) under Lathyrus oleraceus (garden pea). RNAcentral's name for it is "Pisum sativum (pea) long non-coding RNA (PSAT_LNC038444)". The record is from RNAcentral. Lineage: Eukaryota; Viridiplantae; Streptophyta; Magnoliopsida; Fabales; Fabaceae.
UUAAUCAUUAUUUUUCCACAACUUUUUCUUCUCAAUUUCUCUCUCAAUAUUCAUCUUCUCCCUCACCCUCACUAAAGUUCAUCUUCACCACCAUUUAGAAUUUCAUAUUGAAGUUCUAAAAUGGUGGAACUUAGCCAUCAACAAUUUCUAUAUCAUCAUCAAUAAUUAUCAAUCAACAAUUCAAGCAUUAUCAUCAAAAAUCGUCCAUCAACAAUUCCUACACUAUCAUCAACAAUCAUCAUCCAAGAUUCAUCAAUUCAAACUUAUUCAUCAAUAUUCUACAUCCAAAAUUCAUCUUCUACAUUAAUUUAUCAUAAAAAAUAAUCAUCAAGCUUGGAAUUUAAUUGGAUUAAAAGAGCUUAUUCUUGAAGUAUUCCG